This 545-nucleotide ribosomal RNA is filed under the name uncultured archaeon. RNAcentral describes it as "bacterial SSU rRNA". It matches the Rfam family "Archaeal small subunit ribosomal RNA", at positions 327 to 876 of the family's 1478-position model. The record is from RNAcentral.
CGGGUGCAGCAGGCGCGAAAACUUUGCAAUGCGGGAAACCGUGACAAGGGAACUCUGAGUGCCCGUAAAAUCGGGCUGUCCAUCGGUUUAAAUAACCGGUGAAGAAAGGGCCGGGCAAGACCGGUGCCAGCCGCCGCGGUAAUACCGGCGGCUCGAGUGGUGGCCACUAUUACUGGGCUUAAAGCGUUCGUAGCUGGUUUGUUAAGUCUCUGGGGAAGUCUUCCGGCUUAACCGGAAGGCGUCUCAGGGAUACUGGCAGACUAGGGACCGGGAGAGGUGAGAGGUACUCCAGGGGUAGGAGUGAAAUCCUGUAAUCCUUGGGGGACCACCUGUGGCGAAGGCGUCUCACCAGAACGGCUCCGACAGUGAGGGACGAAAGCUGGGGGAGCAAACCGGAUUAGAUACCCGGGUAGUCCCAGCUGUAAACGAUGCGCGUUAGGUGUAUCAGUGACCACGAGUCACUGAGGUGCCGAAGAGAAAUCGUGAAACGUGCCGCCUGGGAAGUACGGUCGCAAGGCUGAAACUUAAAGGAAUUGGCGGGGGAG